GGCGGCGUGCUUAACACAUGCAAGUCGAACGGAAAGGCCUGCAGCUUGCUGCGGGUACUCGAGUGGCGAACGGGUGAGUAACACGUGGGUGAUCUGCCUUGCACUUCGGGAUAAGCUUGGGAAACUGGGUCUAAUACCGGAUAGGACAGCUGUUUAGUGUCAGUUGUGGAAAGUUUUUUCGGUGCAAGAUGAGCUCGCGGCCUAUCAGCUUGUUGGUGGGGUAAUGGCCUACCAAGGCGUCGACGGGUAGCCGGCCUGAGAGGGUGUACGGCCACAUUGGGACUGAGAUACGGCCCAGACUCCUACGGGAGGCAGCAGUGGGGAAUAUUGCACAAUGGGCGGAAGCCUGAUGCAGCGACGCCGCGUGGGGGAUGAAGGCCUUCGGGUUGUAAACUCCUUUCGACAGGGACGAAGCGUAAGUGACGGUACCUGUAUAAGAAGCACCGGCUAACUACGUGCCAGCAGCCGCGGUAAUACGUAGGGUGCGAGCGUUGUCCGGAAUUACUGGGCGUAAAGAGCUCGUAGGUGGUUUGUCGCGUCGUCUGUGAAAUUCCGGGGCUUAACUCCGGGCGUGCAGGCGAUACGGGCUGACUUGAGUGCUGUAGGGGAGACUGGAAUUCCUGGUGUAGCGGUGAAAUGCGCAGAUAUCAGGAGGAACACCGAUGGCGAAGGCAGGUCUCUGGGCAGUAACUGACGCUGAGGAGCGAAAGCAUGGGUAGCGAACAGGAUUAGAUACCCU
This 739-nucleotide ribosomal RNA is filed under the name Corynebacterium striatum. RNAcentral's name for it is "bacterial SSU rRNA". It matches the Rfam family "Bacterial small subunit ribosomal RNA", at positions 38 to 788 of the family's 1533-position model. The record is from RNAcentral. Lineage: Bacteria; Bacillati; Actinomycetota; Actinomycetes; Mycobacteriales; Corynebacteriaceae.